UUCUAUCCAAAGAACCAGAAUAGAACAUUGAAGAGUUCGAGCGUGUUUUCACGAGAAAUUUUCGGUCCGACGUUUAUUCGAAAUGAUUUUCGAGUAAUGAUCGAAUUCCAUCCUUAUCAUUUUCAAAAUCAUAUUAAAUAAUGUGAUCUGCUUUUGGUGCGGUUCUCGUUGGUGCGAUUCGGUGCGCUGACGAGAUCUUCACUAAGACGGACAUCCUGAUAUCGCAAACACCACCAAGGCGUUCGCUCGGAGGUCGCGAACUUCACCAAGUUCAGAGAAGUUCGGUGCACGGAGGACGUGCAGUUCGUCCUCCGUGCCGUCAGAUUGGAUUUCCGCACCAUCCGAGUGUUCGCUGCACCUGAAACCCAGUGUUAAAUAAUGAAAAGAGUUUAGUAAUAAAAAUCAUAUAAUCGAAUUCUUCGAAGUUUUUCUCUUUUCUUUUCUAUCUUUGUUUCUUAUUUGUUGUGGGUAUUGGUUUAUUUUUUUAGAGAAUAACAAGAGUUAGGCCUCGAGAAGAUAUCAAGAAUCACUACUAGAUUACUGACUUUUAGCGACGGUUAGAAAUCAUUAACGAAAAAGCCGUCUCUAAGCCAUCAUCGAUAGCAUCGUGGAAUUUUCACGAAAUCAUUUUUCAGAUUUAGAGACGACCAAAAUUCGUGUUAAAUCCGUCAUUAAAGUCUGUUUACUUGUAGUGAAUGAUUGUGAUAAUAAGCAUGGAUUGUUUAAGACAUAGGCAAGUCAUUAGGAUGCUUUUUUUGGAUUAACAUGCUUAAAUGAACUAUAGCUAAUUAAGAAGCUUAAAUAUGCAUUAACAGCAACGGGUAAUGUGAGUGUUAAUUUUAACAAAAGAAACACCAAAGGAAAUACGAUAUCUUUUCUCUUCUCAAUCAACUUUACGGUCAAUUUUUCAAUUCCAUUUAAAUUCGAAAGUUUUUUGUUAUUAAAAAUGUAUUCUAACAGUUUAUCUUUAAGAUCUUUAAUGUCAGCAGUAGAAAAAUCCAUAAGAUAAAAUUUCGUUAAAUUCAGUACAUUUGGAUUAUCAUAAGAACGAAAUCCAUUAUCGAACAUCAAAAAAAACUCAUUUAAUGUUGGUUUAGUAAUUUAGUAAAGAA
Molecule: long non-coding RNA, 1112 nt
Filed under: Zostera marina
Lineage: Eukaryota; Viridiplantae; Streptophyta; Magnoliopsida; Alismatales; Zosteraceae
Description: long non-coding RNA (ZMAR_LNC002899)
Source: RNAcentral